AAAGAAACUUCUGGAGUACAUACAUCCAAUAAGUAUCAAGCAUGUACUUACAUUUGGGGAAGCAGAAAGUGGAUCGCGUCUUGUAGGAACAGAGCGAUUCUUCAACCUCAAGCCCAGUAAUGAAUAUACCCUCAUUUUCAAAGCAGUUGGAGGUGAUAUGCUGUCCACACACAAAGAAGCAUUUAGUCAGCGGUGCCGACAUUGGUCCAUUUACAAUAAAAGUAUUUCCAUAGUGGAAAUUAGAAGUUCUUCUUUCUCGCUCCACUGGUAAAAUGAAAAGGCUGCGAUGCUGGUUGGAACAACCAACAACGAAGCACUUUCCGACCCUAAUGGCCCCAUUUCAGUUCGUGUCACAGUGAUGGCAGAGAAAGAACCCAGUCGUCGGAAAACCGGCGGCACGGUCCCAUGCACAGGCCCUCAACAUGCUCUGUGGAGUCCCAUUAUCUGUCAUUGAGACCCCGUGUGUCUAGCUUUUGUAUCCAGAUCAUCUCAGCCCUGCAUCUCUGAGAUUUCGACAACCUUGGAUUGGUUAUGAUCAUUUAAUGACUGUAAAAACGUCUCAAAAUCCUGCUCUGAAUGUGUCCAAAUACCCCAUAUGCCUUGUAAAUAUUUAUAAUAGUGUUUAAUUUCCCUGCAACCAGUGAGAAAGGAUACGACCCGCUGUGGUAGGAGACCAGUGGAUGAGGUCUGCCUCUACCUCAAAGAGCUCACUGGGGAUGCGGGUGAGAUACUCACAGUUCUCUCUGAUGUGAUCAUUGAGUAGAUGCAGGUUGUUUUGCUCCGCCUGUGGGAGGGCUGGGGAAGAGUUCAGUUCUGGGACGUAAACAGCAGUCUGAGGGAUCCUCUUCUUGGCUACUUUGUAGGCACCCUGGAGUUGUUUGAUGGCAGUAGAGUGAGUUUUUUAUUUCUGCUGUUGAUGCCAAAGGACAGGAUGAUGGACUGUGUCUGGAAGAAGUGGCUUUCUGCAGGAUGGAUUCUGGAUGGUAGAAGGUGGCUACAGGAAAACUGUCAACCUGCAGGUCUUCCUUGGUGAAGGGAGAAAAUCUGCCCACAUUGGAAUCCCCCAUAAUAACCGGCAGAUGCUCCAGUCCCUCAGUUUCCUGAUGGUUUUGGGGUGACGAGUGGGCUUGAAGAUUUUAUUACCAGGAGGAGUAGAGGGGGUGGCAAAGAUCUCUGUGAGAGUAAGUUGGCUGCCGCUCAUCCUAUGAGGGGAUCUGGCUGCUGCAGGAGGAGAGAGGAGACAGAGAGGCCCCCUUGUGGUCAGAGAGGGGGGGCCUGAAGAGGCGGGAGGGAGUUCAGCCGCAGCAGCAGCAGGAGGAGGAGAAGGAGAAGAAGAACCGGAGGAAGAGAAGACAGCCGCCUGCCGGAUGAUUGUGUGAUCUUCUUCAUCAGCAGAUGUCAAGGCACAAGGCUCCAACAUGGAUGUCUCAUCCUCCGCGAAUUGGGUGUUUGUGAGCAGAUUUUCCUCCUCAAACUGGCGAGUGCUGGAUUUGGACCUGGCGCAGGUCCUGGGUUCUCUCUGGGAUUUAGGAGAUGGUGGCGUGUUUGCAACCAGCAAAGCAGGAGUAGGAGACACCGGGGAAGAGUGUGAGGGGUUAGGGUUAGGGGGUUAGGUUAGGGUUAAAUUAAUUUAAAUAGUCCAGAGGUGGAUCAGGGUGCACUGGCAUACAAAAGUUGAUUUUACAGUUUUCUGACCAAGUUCCUGUUUUUUGUUUGUUUGUUUUUUAUUGUGCUAUUCAUGCAUGUAUAUAAAUAAAUAAAUGAAUAAAUAAAUAAAUAACAUCAUAGUACAUAGUCAAAAUUUGUAUGUUUUUCUCAAUUCGUAUCAAUUCACAGAAUCAAUCUAAGUCCCUAAGAUGGUUGUUCUGUUGUGUAUAUGCACACACACACACCCAAACACAGAA
Betta splendens (Siamese fighting fish) is the source of this 1904-nucleotide long non-coding RNA. RefSeq lists it as uncharacterized. NCBI's taxonomy places the organism in Eukaryota, Metazoa, Chordata, Actinopteri, Anabantiformes, Osphronemidae. The record is from RefSeq and is a predicted model, not a curated record. The transcript has 3 exons.